Molecule: transfer RNA, 75 nt
Filed under: Ignavibacteria bacterium GWB2_35_6b
Lineage: Bacteria; Pseudomonadati; Ignavibacteriota; Ignavibacteria
Description: tRNA-Arg
Rfam family: tRNA
About the family: Transfer RNA (tRNA) molecules are approximately 80 nucleotides in length. Their secondary structure includes four short double-helical elements and three loops (D, anti-codon, and T loops).
Source: RNAcentral
GCCUCCGUGGUUCAAAGGAUAGAACGCGAGCCUCCGGAGCUCGAGAUGCAGGUUCGAUUCCUGCCGGGGGUACAA